RNAcentral lists this ribosomal RNA (460 nucleotides) under uncultured bacterium. Its description in RNAcentral is "partial 16S ribosomal RNA". It matches the Rfam family "Bacterial small subunit ribosomal RNA", at positions 338 to 795 of the family's 1533-position model. The record is from RNAcentral.
CCUACGGGAGGCUGCAGUGAGGAAUAUUGGUCAAUGGUCGGGAGACUGAACCAGCCAAGCCGCGUGAGGGAUGAAGGUACAGAGUAUCGUAAACCUCUUUUGUCAGGGGACAAAGGCGGGGACGUGUCCCCGGAUGAGUGUACCUGAAGAAAAAGCAUCGGCUAACUCCGUGCCAGCAGCCGCGGUAAUACGGAGGAUGCGAGCGUUAUCCGGAUUUAUUGGGUUUAAAGGGUGCGCAGGCGGUCUGGUAAGUCAGCGGUCAAAACCCGGGGCUCAACCCCGGGCCCGCGUGUGAAACUGGCAGUCUAGAGUUGGAGUGAAGUAGGCGGAAUGUGCGGUGUAGCGGUGAAAUGCAUAGAGAUCGUGCAGAACUCCGAUUGCGAAGGCAGCAUGCCGGCUCCACACUGACGCUGAGGCACGAAAGCGUGGGUAUCGAACAGGAUUAGAUACCCUUGUAGUC